CCUUAACUGAAUCUGCAGACCAAACUACUGGAACUGUAGUUGCAGGUUUCUUUUUCACUGCAUUAUAAGAAGCCUGAACAGUUGGCUGAGGUGCAUGCUGGGACUCCAAGUGGAGCUGGGAUUGGGGCUGUGGCCCUCUACAGCUUGUUUUCACAGCUGGAUUUAUUGCCGUCUGGCUCACAGCUGCCUACAGUUUAAAAAAGAAGAACUUCAGCAUAGGCAGGAUGUAAGUGAAAGUUAUUAUUGGCAUUUGUGUUACUUGUUAAUGACACAUGAGCUCAAAUUGUACAAAGUGAGAUGGAGGAUGCAGUAAAUAUGAAAGUGGCAGCAAAUGUUUC
Long non-coding RNA from Etheostoma cragini (Arkansas darter), 338 nucleotides. RefSeq lists it as uncharacterized. The transcript is spliced from 2 exons. The record is from RefSeq and is a predicted model, not a curated record. NCBI's taxonomy places the organism in Eukaryota, Metazoa, Chordata, Actinopteri, Perciformes, Percidae.